Molecule: ribosomal RNA, 1252 nt
Filed under: 'Pyrus communis' phytoplasma
Lineage: Bacteria; Bacillati; Mycoplasmatota; Mollicutes; Acholeplasmatales; Acholeplasmataceae
Description: bacterial SSU rRNA
Rfam family: Bacterial small subunit ribosomal RNA
Source: RNAcentral
ACGACUGCUAAGAAGACUGGAUAGGAGACAAGAAGGCAUCUUCUUGUUUUUAAAAGACCUAGCAAUAGGUAUGCUUAGGGAGGAGCUUGCGUCACAUUAGUUAGUUGGUGGGGCAAAGGCCUACCAAGACUAUGAUGUGUAGCCGGGCUGAGAGGUUGAACGGCCACAUUGGGACUGAGACACGGCCCAAACUCCUACGGGAGGCAGCAGUAGGGAAUUUUCGGCAAUGGAGGAAACUCUGACCGAGCAACGCCGCGUGAACGAUGAAGUAUUUCGGUACGUAAAGUUCUUUUAUUAGGGAAGAAUAAAUGAUGGAAAAAUCAUUCUGACGGUACCUAAUGAAUAAGCCCCGGCUAACUAUGUGCCAGCAGCCGCGGUAAUACAUAGGGGGCAAGCGUUAUCCGGAAUUAUUGGGCGUAAAGGGUGCGUAGGCGGUUAAAUAAGUUUAUGGUCUAAGUGCAAUGCUCAACAUUGUGAUGCUAUAAAAACUGUUUAGCUAGAGUAAGAUAGAGGCAAGUGGAAUUCCAUGUGUAGUGGUAAAAUGCGUAAAUAUAUGGAGGAACACCAGUAGCGAAGGCGGCUUGCUGGGUCUUUACUGACGCUGAGGCACGAAAGCGUGGGGAGCAAACAGGAUUAGAUACCCUGGUAGUCCACGCCGUAAACGAUGAGUACUAAACGUUGGGUAAAACCAGUGUUGAAGUUAACACAUUAAGUACUCCGCCUGAGUAGUACGUACGCAAGUAUGAAACUUAAAGGAAUUGACGGGACUCCGCACAAGCGGUGGAUCAUGUUGUUUAAUUCGAAGGUACCCGAAAAACCUCACCAGGUCUUGACAUGCUUCUGCAAAGCUGUAGAAACACAGUGGAGGUUAUCAGUUGCACAGGUGGUGCAUGGUUGUCGUCAGCUCGUGUCGUGAGAUGUUGGGUUAAGUCCCGCAACGAGCGCAACCCUUAUUGUUAGUUACCAGCACGUAAUGGUGGGGACUUUAGCAAGACUGCCAGUGAUAAAUUGGAGGAAGGUGGGGACGACGCCAAAUCAUCAUGCCCCUUAUGACCUGGGCUACAAACGUGAUACAAUGGCUGUUACAAAGAGUAGCUGAAGCGCAAGUUUUUGGCGAAUCUCAAAAAAACAGUCUCAGUUCGGAUUGAAGUCUGCAACUCGACUUCAUGAAGUUGGAAUCGCUAGUAAUCGCGAAUCAGCAUGUCGCGGUGAAUACGUUCGCGGGGUUUGUACACACCGCCCGUCAAAUCAC